RNAcentral lists this ribosomal RNA (465 nucleotides) under uncultured bacterium. Its description in RNAcentral is "partial 16S ribosomal RNA". It matches the Rfam family "Bacterial small subunit ribosomal RNA", at positions 338 to 794 of the family's 1533-position model. The record is from RNAcentral.
CCUACGGGAGGCAGCAGUGGGGAAUUUUGCGCAAUGGGCGAAAGCCUGACGCAGCGACGCCGCGUGGAGGAUGAAGGCCUUCGGGUCGUAAACUCCUGUCUUGCGGGAAGAAAGGCAAGGGUGCUAAUACCACCUUUGUUUGACGGUACCGCAGGAGGAAGCACCGGCUAACUCCGUGCCAGCAGCCGCGGUAAUACGUAGGGUGCGAGCGUUAAUCGGAAUUACUGGGCGUAAAGCGUGCGCAGGCGGCUUUGUAAGAGGGAGGUGAAAUCCCUGGGCUUAACCGAGGAACUGCGUUCGGGACUGCAAAGCUAGAGUGCGGCAGAGGGGGGUGGAAUUCCUGGUGUAGCAGUAAAAUGCGUAGAUAUCGGGAGGAACACCAGUGGCGAAGGCGGCAUCCUGGCUCAUAACUGACGCUGAGUCGCGAAAGCGUGGGGAUCAAACAGGAUUAGAUCCCCGGGUAGU